This 468-nucleotide ribosomal RNA is filed under the name uncultured bacterium. RNAcentral describes it as "partial 16S ribosomal RNA". It matches the Rfam family "Bacterial small subunit ribosomal RNA", at positions 28 to 507 of the family's 1533-position model. The record is from RNAcentral.
GACGAACGCUGGCGGCGUGCUUAACACAUGCAAGUCGAACGGAAAGGCCCUGCUUUUGUGGGGUGCUCGAGUGGCGAACGGGUGAGUAACACGUGAGUAACCUGCCCUUGACUUUGGGAUAACUUCAGGAAACUGGGGCUAAUACCGGAUAGGAGCUCCUGCUGCAUGGUGGGGGUUGGAAAGUUUCGGCGGUUGGGGAUGGACUCGCGUCUUAUCAGCUUGUUGGUUGGGUAGUGGCUUAGCAAGGCCUUGACGGGUAGCCGGCCUGGGAGGGUGACCGGCCACAUUGGGACUGGGCUACGGCCCAGACUCCUACGGGAGGCAGCAGUGGGGAAUAUUGCACAAUGGGCGGAAGCCUGAUGCAGCACCGCCGCGUGCGGGAUGACGGCCUUCGGGUUGUAAACCGCUUUCGCCUGUGACGAAGCGUGAGUGACGGUAAUGGGUAAAGAAGCACCGGCUAACUACGUG